UUGAACGCUGGCGGCAGGCCUCACACAUGCAAGUCGAACGGUAACAGGAAGAAGCUUGCUUCUUUGCUGACGAGUGGCGGACGGGUGAGUAAUGUCUGGGAAACUGCCUGAUGGAGGGGGAUAACUACUGGAAACGGUAGCUAAUACCGCAUAACGUCGCAAAACCAAAGAGGGGGACCUUCGGGCCUCUUGCCAUCGGAUGUGCCCAGAUGGGAUUAGCUAGUAGGUGGGGUAACGGCUCACCUAGGCGACGAUCCCUAGCUGGUCUGAGAGGAUGACCAGCCACACUGGAACUGAGACACGGUCCAGACUCCUACGGGAGGCAGCAGUGGGGAAUAUUGCACAAUGGGCGCAAGCCUGAUGCAGCCAUGCCGCGUGUAUGAAGAAGGCCUUCGGGUUGUAAAGUACUUUCAGCGGGGAGGAAGGGAGUAAAGUUAAUACCUUUGCUCAUUGACGUUACCCGCAGAAGAAGCACCGGCUAACUCCGUG
Molecule: ribosomal RNA, 489 nt
Filed under: uncultured bacterium
Lineage: Bacteria
Description: partial 16S ribosomal RNA
Rfam family: Bacterial small subunit ribosomal RNA
Source: RNAcentral